This is a long non-coding RNA of Phacochoerus africanus (Common warthog), 1599 nucleotides long. RefSeq lists it as uncharacterized. The transcript has 3 exons. The record is from RefSeq and is a predicted model, not a curated record. NCBI's taxonomy places the organism in Eukaryota, Metazoa, Chordata, Mammalia, Artiodactyla, Suidae.
UUAGACCCCUAGCCUGGGAACCUCCAUAUGCCAUGGGUGCAUUCCUGAAAAGCUGAACAAAAGCAAGUAGUAAACAGUAUGGCCUUUCCAAGUCUAGGUCAAAAGAUCACAGUGAUAAUGAGGCCACAGCUGGAUAGGCCAGUUAAAUCAACAAUAAAAGGGCUACAUGUGAUAUUCGUCCUUCCAUUCAAACAUCUGACAUUCUCUAGCCUUUCUGAACACUCCUUAACAUAUCGUAGUGUUUUGUUGUUGUUCAGUAUUUAUCCUGGUCAGUCUCAGAUAUUCUCUGAUUAUUAGCUUACUGGUUAGGACUCACUAUAGGCCCCACUGGCAACUUCAUUCUAUCUCAAUUCAUGGUAUUAUUAUUAUUCACUCAAACAUGUCUGUUCCUUGUAAUUACAACUGUGAUAAUCACAUCUGCCUCACAAGAGUUACUCUGAAGACUAAGGUCUCUAAUCUAGGGUCAAAGAGGAAGCACUCUAUCUGUUAGCUGCCAUUACCAAUAAUAUCAUUUACAAUUAAUUAAACCUCAAACAUCUUUGACCCUUUCAUCUACUUUUUAAAUGUCCCCAAUACUUCUUAUUGUCUCUUUUUUCCCUCUCUCUCGUGUGCAAGUAGAGACUCUUUCUUCAUCUCUGCCCUGAAUUAGUGCAGUAAUUCCCUGACUUCCAUUUCUUUUGCAGUUCAUAGCUACUUUUUCUGAAACACUGAUUUGAUCCUAUUAAUGCCCAUGCUCAAAAACUUUUGUCAGCAGGAUCAACUAGUUUCUGAACCUCAUUGGCUACAUUCCAGAAUGUCCCUCAACACCCUUUGACCCUUCAUACAUCAUUGCCUUUGUGAAUACUGCUCCCUCUGCUUGAAGCACUGGUGAUUUUCACUUUCCCCCAAUCCCAACAAGAUGCAUUCUUGGUGAUACUGUACCAUUCUCCGAACUCCAGAAGUCAGACAUUUAGGGCAGUCCAGCUUAUUUGGUCCUUAGCAGUCCAUUUUUUUGUUGUUGCAUUCAACCAGUGGGAGCACCUGCAGCAGAUAAAAGGACAAGAAGAGAACAAGGUCAAGGUAUUUACUCCCCCUGCUCCUCCUGUCUCCCUACCAUGAUUCUGGGCUUGGUGGCAUCCUUCAGUUCAGUAAUUACAGAUCCUUUCAGUUGGCCCCUCCUUUGAAGCUCCUAAGUAGGACCUAACAAGAUCACUUUUCUCAGGCCUUGUAAUGAUGUUGCCUUCCUGCUAUUACUGGAACCUUUAUUUAAAACUAUCUUCAACAACCCUAGCUGAUGGAGACUGGGCAAGAUGGAGGAGUAGAAAGACACUCUGCUCAGAAGUUACAACUGUUUACAGAACAACUAUCAGUGAAAAAGACUUGAAUCUGCCACAAAGACCUUCUACAAAUAAAGAAGAAACUGCAAGACAGGACACAGCAAGAAGGCUGCCAUCUGGAAGCCAGGAAGAAGGCCCUUACCUGGGAACCAGAUCUGCUGGCACCUCGAUCUUGAACUGCUUGGACUCCAAAACUGUGAGGGCUGCACCCGUGACAUAUCAAAGUGCCAAGGCGAGGGGUCGAAAAUCAGAGCUACAGCGGCCGUUUUACACCACAGCUCAC